RNAcentral lists this ribosomal RNA (497 nucleotides) under uncultured bacterium. RNAcentral's name for it is "partial 16S ribosomal RNA". It matches the Rfam family "Bacterial small subunit ribosomal RNA", at positions 28 to 507 of the family's 1533-position model. The record is from RNAcentral.
GAUGAACGCUGGCGGCGUGCCUAAUACAUGCAAGUCGAGCGAACGGACGAGAAGCUUGCUUCUCUGAUGUUAGCGGCGGACGGGUGAGUAACACGUGGAUAACCUACCUAUAAGACUGGGAUAACUUCGGGAAACCGGAGCUAAUACCGGAUAAUAUUUUGAACCGCAUGGUUCAAAAGUGAAAGACGGUCUUGCUGUCACUUAUAGAUGGAUCCGCGCUGCAUUAGCUAGUUGGUAAGGUAACGGCUUACCAAGGCAACGAUGCAUAGCCGACCUGAGAGGAGGAGCGCCCACACGGGAACUGAGACACGGCCCAGACUCCUACGGGAGGCAGCAGUGGGGAAUAUUGGGAAAGGGGCGAAAGCGGGAGGGAGCAAGACCGGGUGGGUGAAGAAGGUCUUCGGGUUGUAAAGCCUUUUUGUUGGGAAAGAAAAGAAGUAAAGUAAUAGCCCCCCGUUUUGACGGUACCUAAAAAAAAAGCACGGGCUAACUUCGUG